UAAUACAGAGGGUGCUAGCGUUAAUCGGAAUUACUGGGCGUAAAGCGUGUGUAGGUGGUUAGAUAAGUUAGAUGUGAAAUCCCCGGGCUUAACCUGGGCACUGCGUUUAAGACUGUUUAACUAGAGUACUGUAGAGGAUAGUGGAAUUUCCAGUGUAGCGGUGAAAUGCGUAGAUAUUGGAAGGAACACCAGUGGCGAAGGCGACUAUCUGGACAGAUACUGACACUGAGACACGAAAGCGUGGGGAGCAAACAGG
This 256-nucleotide ribosomal RNA is filed under the name uncultured bacterium. RNAcentral's name for it is "partial 16S ribosomal RNA". It matches the Rfam family "Bacterial small subunit ribosomal RNA", at positions 521 to 776 of the family's 1533-position model. The record is from RNAcentral.